RNAcentral lists this ribosomal RNA (3164 nucleotides) under Ricasolia amplissima. RNAcentral's name for it is "LSU rRNA". It matches the Rfam family "Bacterial large subunit ribosomal RNA". The record is from RNAcentral. Lineage: Eukaryota; Fungi; Ascomycota; Lecanoromycetes; Peltigerales; Lobariaceae.
AUGAAUAAUAUGGAAAGUAUUGUUUUUGUCGUUAAAUAUAUUUAAUGGCGGCAAGUAUACAAAGAAACUAUUAUGGAUUCACAGCUUUAUAUCAAAGAGAGUAAAAGUCGUAGAAGACUAUUAAAUUCGAAAUUGAAUAGAUAGUAGAUGAACUCUAAUUAGAAAUUAAUUAAAUAAGACGAAGUGAAUUGAAAUAUCUUAUUAACUUCAGGAAAACAAAUCAAACGAGAUUCUGUAAGUAGUGUGAAUGAAAUAGGAAUAGCCUUUUAAGUAAAAUGGAGUACAAACCUGUUUGAAUAUAUAGGGGAACCUUCCUCUAAGGCUAAAUAUGAUAUAUAAGCGAUAGUAAAAGUAGUACCGUGAGGGAAAGGAUUGAAAUAGUAGUUUUAUAAGCAGCUCGAUCAAAGUUUAAAUAAACAAUGAGAGCGUACCUUUUGCAUAAUGGGUCAGCAAGUUAAUAUUAGAUGCGAGCAAAUAGGUAAAAAUUAGAAAAUAUUUGUUAAAAGACCAGAUUAAUUUGUUACCAGACCAUACCAUACUAGUUUUUACCAAAUUGCGCAGAUAAACCAAUUAUGAAACAAUGAUGUAGUAUCUAAAAUUAGACCCGAAGCCUAGUGAUCUUACCACGAUCAGGGUUAUAAAAGCUCGAACGGGUUAUCGUUGUAUAGAUAUCCGAAGAAUUGUGGUAAGUUAGUGAAAGACAAAACUGACUAGGAUAGCUGGUUUUCCGCGAAACCUAUCUGAGUAGGUAAUUUAAAUAACAUCAUGGCAGGUACAGCACUGCACCUCAUGCAGCUAACAUUGAUAAAAAGAUGUUAUCUGUAGACAUUGGGGGUCGUGAAGAUACUAUCAGUGAGUGUUCGGCCUCGGAAGGGCUAUGAUAAAUAUUGAAUAAUCAGACAUAGUACGCUAAGGUUGUAUGUCUAAAGGGAAACAGCCCAGAACAAUAGUUAAUAAGGUUCCUAAAUUAUUGUUAAGUGAAAUUAAGGUAGUUUUUUUCAUAAACGACUAGUAAAUAGGCUUAGAAUCGGCCAUUUUUUGAAGACAUCGUAGCAGAGCACUAGUUUGUAAAUCGAUUAUAUGUUUUGCAUGUAGAAAGCACCCAAAAUUUAACGGAUCUAAACAAUAUACCGAAACAUUGUCCAUAUUUAUUUAUAUAUCAUAGUUAUAUAUAGUAUUUAUGGGGUAGCGGAACAUUGGGCAAACCUCAGAUUUUUUCUUUAAAAGACUUAAAAAAAGGUAACCCAAGUGAUAAUGCUGACAUGAGUAACGAUAAAGGGAAUUUAAGUAUAUUUAAAGCAAAGCUUACUUAAAUGGAAGCUUACUUAAGCAUUGUUGUAAUUAAACUUAAGUAAGCUUACUUAAAUGGAAGCUUACUUAAGCAUUGUUGUAAUUAUACUUAAGCAUUGUUGUAAUUAUACUUAUUAUAUUAUUCCCUCGCCUAAAGCUUAUGGUAUUUACUUAAAGUAACGGCCUCUAAGUUUAAAAACGAUAAUCUAAAAUAAAUCUGAGCUGAAUUUUAAAUGAGAUAAUUGGGUUUUAAAUAGACAAUAAAUCAGCUUAGAUAGGUUUUAUUGUACUUAGUCCCUAAGGUUUAAACGAUGAGCAAAUCUAGAGAGUUUAAUAGCAAAUAACAUUUAUAAAUAACAUUUAUGCAUCUGUUAUAGAUAUAUAGUUGGUGUAUAAAAAAAAAGGUGAGAAAUGUUCUGGAAAACUGUGAACUCGGCAUUAUACUGCAGUUUAUAGAUAUGAGGUUAAUUGCCUUAUAUGAGGUUAAUUGCCUUAUAUGAGGUUAAUUGCCUUGCAUCGAAUAAAAACCAAAAUAAAAACCAGAAAACGGGUUUAAUGUCUAUAUCAACCGUACCUAAAUACUAACACAAGUAAGCUAGUAGAGAAUACGAAGGCGUUCGAGUGAACAAUCAUUAAGGAACUCGGCAAAUUGACUCCGUCGUAACUUAGGGAUAUGGUGGGCCAUUCCACUUUCUUAAUAUCAAGGAUGGAAGAGGAGGCACAGAAUGAUGUUGUACGACUGUUUAAUUAAAACAAAGCAUGCUGCAAAAAAUUAAGAAUUCGAAGUAUAGUGUGUGAUGUCUGCCCGAUGACGGCUGGGUAUAUGAUUUGCUUAUCUGACUAAUAUAGGUUAGGCUUUGAUAGAAACCCCGUUCAAUGGCGGCUUUAGCUAUAAGGGUCCUAAGGUAGCGGAAUACCCUGGCCGUUAAAUGCGGUCUUGCAUGAAUGAUGUAACGAUACAACAGCUGUCUCGAUGAUUGGCUCGGUGAAAUUGGAAUAACUGUGCAGAUACAGUUUACCUCUAGUUAGACGAGAAGACCCUAUGCAGCUUUACUGCAGCUAGUUAUUGGGUAUGAUAUAACAAGUUUUAGUGUAUAAGGUAGUUGAUAAGACAACAUUGAAACACCUUUACUAACGGGGGUCAUAUUGAAUAAACCCUACAAAUCAGGGUACAGUUGCUUGGUGGCAGUUUAUGCGCUUAAUCUUGCUAUACUGUUUGACUUACACGUCUUUCAGUCGCGUAAGCGGGGCAUAUGAUCACAAGAUGCAGAAAGGAAAGGUCUUGUAUUAUUGAAAAAGCUACGCUAGGGAUAACAGGCUAAUUUUGCAAGAGAGCUCAAAUCGGCUGCAAAGUUUGGCACCUCGAUGUCGGCUUAACUCAUCCUCAUGAAUGCAAGAGCCAUGUAAGGUUCGACUGUUCGUCGAUUAAAGAGUUACACGAGCUGGGUUAAAUACGUCGUGAGACAGUAUGGUUUCUAUCUUCUAGAGGAAAUUAGAAUAAAAUAAGGAUAGACCCGACGUACGUAAGGAAAUGGAUAUAUUAACCUCUGGUCUACCUGUUGUUUAUGUUCCUAUAUUAAAAUAUAAGUUUAUAGGAAAAGGGAAGGGAAACCCUCUCUUUUUAAUAUGGCUUAUAUAAGGUUUUACUUCACACUAAAGUAAUAUUUAGCAUAGGCACGGCAGGAAGGCUAUGUUAGUCAACGUUAAGUGCUGAAUGAAUCUAGGCACGAAACUAACCUUAAGAUAUUCUUAAAUAAACGUAGUUUAAUACUACGAUUUUAGAUCUUAUUUUUUUAGAUAAAGAUCUUAAUUAAUAGGCUUUAGCUGACAGAAUUGUGACAUUUUUAGGCAUUAAGUACUAAUAUUUUUAAUUU